UACGGAGGGUGCAAACGUUGCUCGGAAUCAUUGGGCGUAAAGCGCACGUAGGCGGCCUGUUAAGUCGGGUGUGAAAGCCCUGGGCUCAACCCAGGAAGUGCACUCGAAACUGGCGGGCUUGAAUAUGGAAGAGGGUCGCGGAAUUCCCGGUGUAGAGGUGAAAUUCGUAGAUAUCGGGAGGAACACCAGUGGCGAAGGCGGCGACCUGGGCCAAUAUUGACGCUGAGGUGUGAAAGCGUGGGGAGCAAACAGG
This 253-nucleotide ribosomal RNA is filed under the name uncultured bacterium. RNAcentral's name for it is "partial 16S ribosomal RNA". It matches the Rfam family "Bacterial small subunit ribosomal RNA", at positions 524 to 776 of the family's 1533-position model. The record is from RNAcentral.